UGGUAAUUCAGCCAUAUUCGUAUAAGUUUUCAAGCCACGAUUUUUGAGAAAUAUUUCUCCGCGACCAUCGACUCUUUCCAAGAUGCCGUCAAGUGUCUCUCGGAAUUCGCAUGCAACGCAAGUUUCCCGGACACGAGUAUGGAAG
Molecule: long non-coding RNA, 145 nt
Organism: Xenia sp. Carnegie-2017
Lineage: Eukaryota; Metazoa; Cnidaria; Anthozoa; Malacalcyonacea; Xeniidae
Exons: 2
Source: RefSeq, a predicted model, not a curated record